AAAGAACUCAAUUCAAUUGUCAAAAUAUAUGAAAGAAUCAUAUGAUUCCAAUUUAGUAGCGGCCAUUGAUCACGAUGGCAAUCCAAAGGAAACUCAAAUUUUCAGCAUAAAGAGUCAGAGUCAAGAGAAUUAAAUUUCAGUAAUUAUAGUUUCAUUAGCAGUAGCACCCAAUGUAUUUCCUGUGAGUUUAACUGCUGAAGGCUUGAAGUAAAGAGAAAGUUUUAGAGGAGUUGCCAUGUAGGCAGAGGAAUUGCAUGAUAUUUCCCCACUUGGACCAAUUAAGAACUAUUAUAACUGUUUUCCUAUAAAUUUAUACACUUUUUUAAGGGGAAAAAAUGAUUAACAUCUACAUUCUUUAAGAGUUCAAUAUGAUACUGUUUCUAUGCUUUCUAGAUUUUUACAUACCUACACGCCAUGUGUUAGGGAAAAAGGGACUUAUGCUUCAAUCAGCUAAUAGAUUAUCAAACCAAAAAAAAAUUAUAAUUCAUGCAAGUUAGAUUGAAGUAAAAUUAGUUAAUAGAUUCCGUAUCUCUGUUUCAUUAAUAUACUUUAAUAAGAUAACUAGUUCAUGAAAAGCAAAGCAAUAAAACAGAUAGUUGAGUGCAUGAGAAAUAGGGGCAACUAUGAUGUCUCAUCAGUAGGACAUUGAAUCAGUGUUAUCUCUAAGAAGAUCCCAAAGCUAUUUAAGCCGCUGAACAUUUCAUAUACAAGUUUGCUGCAUGCAAGAAAAAAAUUGUUACCUUAUCCAAUAUCCAUUAACAUGG
RNAcentral lists this unclassified non-coding RNA (764 nucleotides) under Hevea brasiliensis (rubber tree). Lineage: Eukaryota; Viridiplantae; Streptophyta; Magnoliopsida; Malpighiales; Euphorbiaceae. The record is from RNAcentral.